CGCACGGGUGAGUAACACGUAUCCAACCUGCCGUCUACUCUUGGACAGCCUUCUGAAAGGAAGAUUAAUACAAGAUGGCAUCAUGAGUCCGCAUGUUCACAUGAUUAAAGGUAUUCCGGUAGACGAUGGGGAUGCGUUCCAUUAGAUAGUAGGCGGGGUAACGGCCCACCUAGUCUUCGAUGGACAGGGGUUCUGAGAGGAAGGUCCCCCACAUUGGAACUGAGACACGGUCCAA
Molecule: ribosomal RNA, 235 nt
Filed under: uncultured bacterium
Lineage: Bacteria
Description: partial 16S ribosomal RNA
Rfam family: Bacterial small subunit ribosomal RNA
Source: RNAcentral